AAUUGAAAUUUAUGAUCUGCUUAUCUGAAUAUGUUAGUGCAGAAACACUUAAAAAGCUGGCAGUGUAAAGCAAUGUUACAAACCUUAAGAACUUUGAAGUCAUUAAGGUCCCUGAAAAUGGCUAUAACA
This 129-nucleotide small nucleolar RNA is filed under the name Carlito syrichta (Philippine tarsier). RNAcentral's name for it is "Small nucleolar RNA SNORA33 (ENSTSYG00000035615.1)". It matches the Rfam family "Small nucleolar RNA SNORA33". Rfam says of the family: ACA33 is a member of the H/ACA class of snoRNA that guide the sites of modification of uridines to pseudouridines. The record is from Rfam by way of RNAcentral. Lineage: Eukaryota; Metazoa; Chordata; Mammalia; Primates; Tarsiidae.